Cinara cedri is the source of this 270-nucleotide non-coding RNA. The record is from the annotation of a GenBank genome assembly. NCBI's taxonomy places the organism in Eukaryota, Metazoa, Arthropoda, Insecta, Hemiptera, Aphididae.
CAAAGACAACGGUCUGAUACGGUUUACACGAGUAUAUAGAUAUUGAAAAAUCUAUAUUCUCUAUACACGUCCGAUAAGUAUUUUUCACAUGACUGUCAAACGCUCUGCAAUGAAUCCGUUCGGCAAUACGUGAAUACGUCUUGGCCCGUUUUUGUUAAUUAAUAUGUUUCAAACUUGACAUUUCAAGGGGAAUAGAAAACAAAUACGAGUCACGAUAAUCGACUUGUACAACGAAGUUUUGCGCGACUUAUAGAGUCGUUUACACGCGAG